AGAGUUUGAUCAUGGCUCAGGAUGAACGCUGGCGGCGUGCCUAACACAUGCAAGUCGAGCGAUGAAAUCCUUCGGGAUGGAUUAGCGGCGGACGGGUGAGUAACACGUGGGUAACCUGCCUCAUAGAGGGGAAUAGCCUUUCGAAAGGAAGAUUAAUACCGCAUAAGAUUGCAGCUUCGCAUGAAGCAGCAAUUAAAGGAGUAAUCCGCUAUGAGAUGGACCCGCGUCGCAUUAGCUAGUUGGUGAGGUAACGGCUCACCAAGGCGACGAUGCGUAGCCGACCUGAGAGGGUGAUCGGCCACAUUGGGACUGAGACACGGCCCAGACUCCUACGGGAGGCAGCAGUGGGGAAUAUUGCACAAUGGGGGAAACCCUGAUGCAGCAACGCCGCGUGAGUGAUGAAGGUCUUCGGAUUGUAAAACUCUGUCUUUGGGGACGAUAAUGACGGUACCCAAGGAGGAAGCCACGGCUAACUACGUGCCAGCAGCCGCGGUAAUACGUAGGUGGCAAGCGUUGUCCGGAUUUACUGGGCGUAAAGGGAGCGUAGGUGGAUAUUUAAGUGGGAUGUGAAAUGCUCGGGCUUAACCUGAGUGCUGCAUUCCAAACUGGAUAUCUAGAGUGCAGGAGAGGAAAGUGGAAUUCCACGUGUAGCGGUGAAAUGCGUAGAGAUGUGGAGGAACACCAGUGGCGAAGGCGGCUUUCUGGUCUGUAACUGACGCUGAGGCGCGAAAGCGUGGGGAGCGAACAGGAUUAGAUACCCUGGUAGUCCACGCCGUAAACGAUGAGUGCUAAGUGUUAGGGGGUUUCCGCCCCUUAGUGCUGCAGCUAACGCAUUAAGCACUCCCCCUGGGGAGUACGGCCGCAAGGCUGAACUCAAAGGAAUUGAC
RNAcentral lists this ribosomal RNA (887 nucleotides) under uncultured bacterium. RNAcentral's name for it is "bacterial SSU rRNA". It matches the Rfam family "Bacterial small subunit ribosomal RNA", at positions 8 to 914 of the family's 1533-position model. The record is from RNAcentral.